Molecule: long non-coding RNA, 3352 nt
Organism: Lytechinus pictus (painted urchin)
Lineage: Eukaryota; Metazoa; Echinodermata; Echinoidea; Temnopleuroida; Toxopneustidae
Exons: 2
Source: RefSeq, a predicted model, not a curated record
GCACUGAGGCGAAAAAGACGAACACACAAUGGCGGAUGUUGAAUAGCUGACAGGUGAAUGUCUUUUGCCGGCAAGAAUGCAACGGCGUAAAUGCUAGAGUUCAAAGAAAUGAUGUCCUCAAGGCUAAAUUCAAACAGUGUAUUAACAGGACAACAAACACUGAUUUUCUUUUACUGAUAUUACUGCGAAUGAGAGAAAAUGAUGGGAACAUCUUCAAGUGAUUUGUAACAUUAGUUUGGUGAUAACAAGCGCAAGAAUUAACCUGGUGCUGACCAAGAUGUUCUACCCUAUGGAAUACCACCACAUAUUGCAUGAGGAAUGGAGCACUGAGGAUUUCAUCAGGUGGUGAUGACGGGUCAGGUGGAUAGGAGAAUGUUGCUUGGAAGGCAUCCACAUGUGGGAAUAUCUUUUGAUGAGAUGAGGUCUGACGUCAUUAUUGAAAGGCCAAUCCGAUUUCCCAUUUGAAAGGACCCAGUUAUACCAGGAGGAAGAAUAGGGUCUGGGCAGUGGACUUUGGUUGAGGAAUAUACCAAGCCGAUACUAUGACUACAAAGUUCACCCGAUACAGUCUCAUCAUGAUGAGGGGUGAUGCAAAGAUCCAGUUGGUCUUCAAACGGCUCGAGCCUGCAUGGGGAACUUUACGUUACGUGAGGGAAACGUUCCUGUUAAAUGUCAAGUCCGUAAUAAUGUAAAUAAAUUUAGAAAAAUCAAACAAGCACAAUACUGAAAAUUUAAUCAAGGAUGAGAUAUGUGACAUUUAAACUUGUGCUUGUUUGUCACAAAAAACCCUAUCACAGUAAUUGGUUCAUUGAGAAAGUCGAUGCUGUCUUACACUCAUUUUCUUAUUUUGAAAAUAUUUUGAUGUAUGAAUUAUACUUUAUUUCCAUUUUUGCAGAAUUGAAAAUAAUGAAAAUAUUAAUUUGUUCACAAGAGAUUGAAACAAUGCAAAUUUUACACAUUUAGGGAGAAACUAUAUGCUUCACAUUAUGCAAAGGAAACAUGUGAAAUUAAGCGGACUUCCAAAUAUAACUUUCUUAUUUUACAUUCAAUUUGAUGAACUUUUGAACAAAUCAUGCUUGUUUGGUUUUUCUUUUCAAUUUUAUGUUGGGGGUAGACAUCCUCUUUAAAUAACAACGAGGAUUUAAAACUUUUAAACAACUGAAAUUUUAAACAAUCGCUGUUGGAGUGACGGGCUUAAAAAUCGUGAUUACAACUUCAAACAGUGUUUUUACAGUGUAUAAACCUUGCCCUUUUUUUUGCCCAUGAAAUUUCGCAUCUGGCCGUUUGUCCUGGUCGGUCGGCCAGGGCUUCUGGUGCCAACUUUCGGUACCAAAGCUUACAUACCAGAUAAAUUUUGAUAUUCACUUGUAUCUUGCGAAAUAUGAUUCAAGAAAUUGUGAUUGAUCUAGUUUAUUUUAUACUUAAAGGUAGUUCACCCUGGCAAAAGAUCAUUGUAAAAAUAGCAGAAAAAUAUUGGUGAAGGUUUGAGGAAAUCUAAUAUCGUGUAGUAAAAAAAAAUCAGUGAAAUGUCAAUUUCUCAAAAAAUGAAAAUAGUUUUCAUUGUAUCUUCAGUAUAUUACCAGAAAAAGAAAAUAAAUUCUAGCCAUCAUGAACAAUUAAAAAAAAUCUAUAAAUUUUAUAUUAACAUAACGGGGCAGCUGCUCGUUUAUGACAUCACAAAUCCAAAACUUGACAUUCUAAUAACUUUCUUAUCCUCAGACCGUCACCAAUAUUUUUUUCUGGUAUUAUUACAACAAACCUUUCUUCAGGUCGAACUUUCCCUUUUAAAAUGGUACUCCAGGCUGUAUUCUAUUAUAUUCAUUUAAAUCUUUAAAUCAUCAAGAAUUAAAAAAUUGGACAGAUAUCUGAUUGAAUGUGUAAGAUAAUUAUUACUGCAACUUAAUUUAUUACAAGGGGAAAUAUAUGUUUCAAAAUAUAAUAUAAUUGUGAUUUCGUGUAAUGACAUAAGAAAAUAGAACGUGGGGACAUUGCGUCAUCAGCCCUCAGUGUUGAUAUUCAUGACGGCGUGCCGUUUCCGCAUUUUUUUUUUUUUUUUUUUACUAAACUUUAACAUUCAAUAACUUCGUUAUUUGUUAUAUUUUAAUGAAACUUUCAGCAUUUUGCUCGGUCAUUAUCUUACUCUAUUAACUUUGAUGAGAAAAAGAUUAUUUUCAAUUCGGAGUACCAGUUUAACAGCUAUAUGUACAUGUAUUUGCGGUGUAGCCUAUACAGCCUAGAUCAAGGUGCACUUUGGACAUCAAAAUAUAUAGUUUGUUGUAUGUAGAAUAGUUUUAUCUAUGCCAACUUGUUCAUCAAAACACAAGAGUUAUCACCCUGCAACAUUUGUUAUAAUUAUGAGCAGCAACAUAACGUGGAGUGGUAGACGUGUUACAGACACAGAACUAGAAAAGUGGAUUUUCUAGUGUCAUUUUUCUUUAUACAUCAACUUCGAACUUAUUGGUCGUUUCUGACAAUUAAAGCAAUUCACAUUUAUUUUAAUCCAAAAUGUGCAUGUCAAUCUUCGCAUAAAUAACCCCCGUAAAUGGUGUAACAGCCCCAAAGUGGUAUUUUUCAGCCCUACUGAACCAUGCUCACCCCUCACUCAGCCAACUCACGAAACCCAAACAGAAGUUGCUACCGGAAACAAAGCUUUACCACGAAGAUUUUUAUUAUAUGGCUUUAUUAUUUUUUUUUUGCAGGAGUGCUAUGUAACACUCCUGCAUAGUCCUGUUACAAAAGUUGUUCCCUGAUCUUGGCUAUUAGUAUUGAUAUCAGUAUGGAUAUUUUAUAUACAGUGGUGCUAAAUAGUUGGUGAAUCCCACCAGAAAAUGCAUUCCUUCAUGCUGAGUGUUGAAUGCAGACAGCAACAAUACAAUGUCAGGCAAGUCCAGAGAAACAAACUUUAUUGAAUGCAAUAUUUUAUCUCAUGACUUCAAGAUUAAAUAUCUAAAAGAUGACAGAACUUGAAUAUUUUGGAAUGUGUUCAUUUUAUCUGGUGGGGUUCACUAUUGAACUGUUUAGCAUCACUGUAGGCUUAUGUUCAGUAUACCCAGGUAUAUGUACUAAUUGUCGUAUACCUCUAAAUACUUUUUAUUACUCAAGAUUGUUCAUGACUGGGUAGUAAUUUUACUCUUUAUCUAUUUUGUUUAUCACCAUUGUUCGGUAGUAAUAAUACUUGUAUUUUCUGGAAUCUUGCAGAAACAAAAUGAUUGCAUGAAUGCAUGUAUGAAUGAAUACAAAUACAUGGAUGGAUGAAUGAAUGACUAUUAAUCAUUCACCCGGUCCAUUCGUCCAUUUAUUCAUUAUUUUAUUCAUUUAUACAUGCAUUCAAUUAAAUGAAUGAGUUACACCU